Molecule: ribosomal RNA, 547 nt
Filed under: uncultured bacterium
Lineage: Bacteria
Description: partial 16S ribosomal RNA
Rfam family: Bacterial small subunit ribosomal RNA
Source: RNAcentral
GGAAUCUUCCACAAUGGACGCAAGUCUGAUGGAGCAACGCCGCGUGAGUGAAGAAGGUUUUCGGACCGUAAAGCUCUGUUGUUGGUGAAGAAGGAUAGAGGUAGUAACUGGCCUUUAUUUGACGGUAAUCAACCAGAAAGUCACGGCUAACUACGUGCCAGCAGCCGCGGUAAUACGUAGGUGGCAAGCGUUGUCCGGAUUUAUUGGGCGUAAAGCGAGCGCAGGCGGAAGAAUAAGUCUGAUGUGAAAGCCCUCGGCUUAACCGAGGAAUUGCAUCGGAAACUGUUUUCUUGAGUGCAGAAGAGGAGAGUAGAACUCCAUGUGUAGCGGUGGAAUGCGUAGAUAUAUGGAAGAAUACCAGUGGCGAAGGCGGCUCUCUGGUCUGCAACUGACGCUGAGGCUCGAAAAGCAUGGGUAGCGAACAGGAUUAGAUACCCUGGUAGUCCAUGCCGUAAACGAUGAGUGCUAAGUGUUGGGAGGCUUCCGCCUCUCAGUGCUGCAGCUAACGCAUUAAGCACUCCGCCUGGGGGAGUACGACCGCAAGGUU